RNAcentral lists this ribosomal RNA (250 nucleotides) under uncultured bacterium. Its description in RNAcentral is "partial 16S ribosomal RNA". It matches the Rfam family "Bacterial small subunit ribosomal RNA", at positions 524 to 773 of the family's 1533-position model. The record is from RNAcentral.
UACGUAGGGAGCGAGCGUUGUCCGGAAUUACUGGGCGUAAAGGGCGCGUAGGCGGAAUCUUAAGUCAGGUGUGAAAACUCUGGGCUCAACUCGGAGACUGCAUUUGAAACUGGGAUUCUUGAGGGCAGGAGAGGAAAGUGGAAUUCCUAGUGUAGCGGUGAAAUGCGUAGAUAUUAGGAGGAACCCCAGUGGCGAAGGCGACUUUCUGGACUGCAUCUGACGCUGAGGCGCGAAAGCGUGGGGAGCAAAC